GAUGAACGCUAGCUACAGGCUUAACACAUGCAAGUCGAGGGGAAACGGCAUCGAAAGCUUGCUUUUGAUGGGCGUCGACCGGCGCACGGGUGAGUAACGCGUAUCCAACCUGCCCAUCACUUGGGAAUAACCUUGCGAAAGUAAGACUAAUGCCCAAUGACAUCCCACGAAGGCACCCGAAUGGGAUUAAAGAUUUAUCGGUGAUGGAUGGGGAUGCGUCUGAUUAGCUUGUUGGCGGGGUGACGGCCCACCAAGGCAACGAUCAGUAGGGGUUCUGAGAGGAAGGUCCCCCACAUUGGAACUGAGACACGGUCCAAACUCCUACGGGAGGCAGCAGUGAGGAAUAUUGGUCAAUGGGCGAGAGCCUGAACCAGCCAAGUAGCGUGCAGGAUGACGGCCCUAUGGGUUGUAAACUGCUUUUAUAAGGGAAUAAAGUGGGUCACGUGUGACUUUUUGCAUGUACCUUAUGAAUAAGGACCGGCUAAUUCCGUG
Molecule: ribosomal RNA, 492 nt
Filed under: uncultured bacterium
Lineage: Bacteria
Description: partial 16S ribosomal RNA
Rfam family: Bacterial small subunit ribosomal RNA
Source: RNAcentral